Dermochelys coriacea (leatherback sea turtle) is the source of this 209-nucleotide long non-coding RNA. RefSeq lists it as uncharacterized. The record is from RefSeq and is a predicted model, not a curated record. The transcript is spliced from 2 exons. Lineage: Eukaryota; Metazoa; Chordata; Testudines; Dermochelyidae.
GCAUUAGUCUGUGGAAGAGUGAGGGGGAAAACUUCUGUCAGAUUACUGCUAUUUAAGGAUCUUAUUCAAGGGUUUUAUAUUCAUGUUGAAUUCUGCAGUGCAGUUUGUUCAGACUGUUUAUAUCUGUUCCAGUUGUGCAAGAAGUGGAAAAUAUCCUUUAUUUAGAACAGGUCACGUGCUUACAUCCAGGAACAGUCUCUCAAUGCUUU